UCGAGAAUCUUCCGCAAUGGGCGAAAGCCUGACGGAGCGACGCCGCGUGUAGGAUGAAGGCCCUCGGGUUGUAAACUACUGUCACGGGUUAUGAAUGUGCAUAUGUUAACAGCGUGUGUAUUGACGUAAGCCCGAAAGGAAGCACCGGCUAACUCUGUGCCAGCAGCCGCGGUAAUACAGAGGGUGCAAACGUUGUUCGGAAUUACUGGGCAUAAAGCGCGCGUAGGCGGCGACGUAAGUGUAGGGUGAAAUCCCACGGCUCACCCGUGUGAAUUGCCCCGCAUACUGCGUUGCUUGAGUGUGGUAGGGGAGAGCGGAACUCCUGGUGGAGCGGUGAAAUGCGUAGAUAUCAGGAGGAACACCGGUGGCGUAGGCGGCUCUCUGGUCCAUAACUGACGCUGAAGUGCGAAAGCUAGGGUAGCGAACGGGAUUAGAUACCCUAGUAGUCCCUGAGCGGGCUGGCAAGGCGCAU
RNAcentral lists this ribosomal RNA (472 nucleotides) under uncultured bacterium. RNAcentral describes it as "bacterial SSU rRNA". It matches the Rfam family "Bacterial small subunit ribosomal RNA", at positions 355 to 825 of the family's 1533-position model. The record is from RNAcentral.